Long non-coding RNA from Oryzias melastigma (Indian medaka), 617 nucleotides. RefSeq lists it as uncharacterized. The transcript is spliced from 2 exons. The record is from RefSeq and is a predicted model, not a curated record. Lineage: Eukaryota; Metazoa; Chordata; Actinopteri; Beloniformes; Adrianichthyidae.
GUUUCUCUGAAAUGAAAGACGAUCAGCAGAAACCUGUGUGCUUCCAACCAGCAAACAAAAACAGAGUCAGAGGUGUGGACGGACAGAUUGGUGGACAGAUGGAGGGCAGGGGGGAUGGCAUCGUGGCGAGCGGUCGCUGCCAGUGGUGUCACUUCCUGGGAGAAAAUAGAGCAGGAAGCUGGAGACAGAUCCAGCAAGAGCGGGCUUCGCCUCUGCAAGGAAGCGUUUUUCCCUCCCAACGGUGAGCAUGUGAGGCUGCCUUACUCAUUUACUGUCACACUCAGGAUGUACGAGCGUUCUGUUUUACAUCUACUUAUAGAAAUACAGCAGUCAGUAAACCCAAGUACCUAUAGAUUUUCUCUCCUCCUAUUGAUUUACAUGUAAUCCAGGGUCUACUUGUUGUAUAUAUGAAUCAGUUCAAUUCAUUUGCUAGAUGUCACAUUAUUACAGCAGCACCAAAUUAUUUAUUCCAACAUCCAUUCCCAUAUUUUGUACAAAGAUUGUGGUUCAUUAAACGAAUGCUGGAUACACACUGUAAGCGCUAUGGCAUAUGGCCCCCGUAGAUUUCCUUUUUGAAAGAAGUGUCUCAUGUAUGAAAUAAAGUGUAGUGUGCAGUA